This 29-nucleotide non-coding RNA is filed under the name Rattus norvegicus (Norway rat). The record is from RNAcentral. Lineage: Eukaryota; Metazoa; Chordata; Mammalia; Rodentia; Muridae.
AACCACAACAUUAGCAGCCUCUGGACCAC